RNAcentral lists this ribosomal RNA (1482 nucleotides) under Salmonella enterica subsp. enterica serovar Infantis. RNAcentral describes it as "partial 23S ribosomal RNA". It matches the Rfam family "Bacterial large subunit ribosomal RNA", at positions 679 to 2141 of the family's 2925-position model. The record is from RNAcentral. Lineage: Bacteria; Pseudomonadati; Pseudomonadota; Gammaproteobacteria; Enterobacterales; Enterobacteriaceae.
GAGUCUUAAUUGGGCGUUAAGUUGCAGGGUAUAGACCCGAAACCCGGUGAUCUAGCCAUGGGCAGGUUGAAGGUUGGGUAACACUAACUGGAGGACCGAACCGACUAAUGUUGAAAAAUUAGCGGAUGACCUGUGGCUGGGGGUGAAAGGCCAAUCAAACCGGGAGAUAGCUGGUUCUCCCCGAAAGCUAUUUAGGUAGCGCCUCGUGAAUUCAUCUCCGGGGGUAGAGCACUGUUUCGGCUAGGGGGCCAUCCCGGCUUACCAACCCGAUGCAAACUGCGAAUACCGGAGAAUGUUAUCACGGGAGACACACGGCGGGUGCUAACGUCCGUCGUGAAGAGGGAAACAACCCAGACCGCCAGCUAAGGUCCCAAAGUCAUGGUUAAGUGGGAAACGAUGUGGGAAGGCCCAGACAGCCAGGAUGUUGGCUUAGAAGCAGCCAUCAUUUAAAGAAAGCGUAAUAGCUCACUGGUCGAGUCGGCCUGCGCGGAAGAUGUAACGGGGCUAAACCAUGCACCGAAGCUGCGGCAGCGACACUCAGGUGUUGUUGGGUAGGGGAGCGUUCUGUAAGCCUGUGAAGGUGGCCUGUGAGGGUUGCUGGAGGUAUCAGAAGUGCGAAUGCUGACAUAAGUAACGAUAAAGCGGGUGAAAAGCCCGCUCGCCGGAAGACCAAGGGUUCCUGUCCAACGUUAAUCGGGGCAGGGUGAGUCGACCCCUAAGGCGAGGCCGAAAGGCGUAGUCGAUGGGAAACGGGUUAAUAUUCCCGUACUUGGUGUUACUGCGAAGGGGGGACGGAGAAGGCUAUGUUGGCCGGGCGACGGUUGUCCCGGUUUAAGCGUGUAGGUGUGUGUUCCAGGUAAAUCCGGUUCACUUUAACACUGAGGCGUGAUGACGAGGCACUACGGUGCUGAAGCAACAAAUGCCCUGCUUCCAGGAAAAGCCUCUAAGCAUCAGGUAACAUCAAAUCGUACCCCAAACCGACACAGGUGGUCAGGUAGAGAAUACCAAGGCGCUUGAGAGAACUCGGGUGAAGGAACUAGGCAAAAUGGUGCCGUAACUUCGGGAGAAGGCACGCUGACACGUAGGUGAAGUGAUUUACUCAUGGAGCUGAAGUCAGUCGAAGAUACCAGCUGGCUGCAACUGUUUAUUAAAAACACAGCACUGUGCAAACACGAAAGUGGACGUAUACGGUGUGACGCCUGCCCGGUGCCGGAAGGUUAAUUGAUGGGGUCAGCGCAAGCGAAGCUCCUGAUCGAAGCCCCGGUAAACGGCGGCCGUAACUAUAACGGUCCUAAGGUAGCGAAAUUCCUUGUCGGGUAAGUUCCGACCUGCACGAAUGGCGUAAUGAUGGCCAGGCUGUCUCCACCCGAGACUCAGUGAAAUUGAACUCGCUGUGAAGAUGCAGUGUACCCGCGGCAAGACGGAAAGACCCCGUGAACCUUUACUAUAGCUUGACACUGAACAUUGAGCCUUGAUGUGUAG